Molecule: ribosomal RNA, 516 nt
Filed under: Mischocyttarus drewseni gigas
Lineage: Eukaryota; Metazoa; Arthropoda; Insecta; Hymenoptera; Vespidae
Description: partial 16S ribosomal RNA
Source: RNAcentral
GGUUUAUUGAUUUUAAUAAUAAAUUUAUUCUGCCCAUUGAAUUUUAAAAAUUUUAAAGGCUGCAGUAUAUUAACUGUACAAAGGUAGCAAAAUCAAUAGUUUUUUAAUUGGAAACUUGUAUGAAAGAAUUAAUAAAAUAUAAAUUGUCUCAAAUUAAUUAUAUUAAAUUUAAAUUAGAAGUUAAAAUGCUUUUAUAAUUUUAUAAGACGAUAAGACCCUAAGAAUUUAAUAUUUAUUAUUUAAUUUAUUAAAUUUUUUUAUGAAUAAAAUUUAAUAAUAAAUGAUUUUAUUGGGAGGGUAAUUAAAAAUUUAAACUUUAAUUUUUUAUAAACUUUGAUAUUUGAAUAUUAAUGAUUAUUUUUAUAGUUAUAAGAAAAAAUUACCUUAGGGAUAACAGCGUAAUAAUUUUGGAGAGUUCAUAUUGAUAGAAUUGUUUGCGACCUCGAUGUUGAAUUAAAAUAAAAAUUGAAUGUAGAUAUUUAAUAUUUUAGUCUGUUCGACUAUUGAAAUUUUACA